Molecule: non-coding RNA, 381 nt
Organism: Echinops telfairi (small Madagascar hedgehog)
Lineage: Eukaryota; Metazoa; Chordata; Mammalia; Afrosoricida; Tenrecidae
Source: the annotation of a RefSeq genome assembly
AUGAGGUUCUCCGCUCAGCUGCUGGGGUUGCUUCUGCUCUGCAUCCCUGCUUCCAGGGGAGCUAUUGUGAUGACUCAGACCCCAGCCUCCCUGCUCAUCGUCCCAGGAGAGCCGGCCACCAUCUCCUGCAAGGCCAGUGAGAGUGUCGUACACGAUAAUGGAAAUACCUACUUGCAUUGGUACCGGCAGAUACGAGGCCAGACUAUUGAGCCCCUGAUCUAUGACGUUUCCAAAAGGGCCGCUGGAGUGCAUGAGAAGUUCAGUGGCAGUGGGUCCGUGUCGGAUUUCACUCUGAAAAUCAGCAAGGUGGAGGCUGAGGACGCUGCAGUGUAUUACUGUCAGCAGUACAGAAAAUAUCCUUCCACAGUGGUACAGCCCUGA